This 67-nucleotide transfer RNA is filed under the name Diadema antillarum. RNAcentral describes it as "tRNA-Cys". The record is from RNAcentral. RNAcentral also lists the same sequence under 1 other name. Lineage: Eukaryota; Metazoa; Echinodermata; Echinoidea; Diadematoida; Diadematidae.
GGCUUUAUAGUGUAAGUAACAUUAAGGAUUGCAAGUCCUUAGAUGCGAUUAACAGUCGCUAAAGCUU